UCCCAUAGGAAGCUACUACGGCUUGCCCCGCCUGACAAGUUCUUUAUGCUUUAAACAAAAGAGAUUAUUGGAAGGAAAGACAUGAGUGUCUCAAAGUGGUAUUUUGGUACAAAAGGAUGUCUUAAAAUAGCAUCCUUACGCUUCCCAUUGGGGCAGGAAGGACCUGAGGAGAGAGAACAUUAAGUCUGGAAAAGCCAAAAUGAUUGCUGGGCAUUAUCGUCCCCUGAUGGUAACAGGGAGGCCCUAAGUGACCGGUCGAUGACUUCUCUCUGGGACCCCAGCCUCUGCUUCUGCGUGCCCUCUCCCUGUUGUCAGAUGCAUACAUUGAGUCCCCUCUGUGUUUCCUGCCCACCAAAGGACAGGUGACUGAACCCUUCCAAGACAAAUCACCCAGCUACCAAACUACAGAGAAGUCUGGACGUCUGCAGGUGUAGCAGUCAGCAACAACUCAAUCAUGUAUUCAUUCAUUUGUUCAACAAACAUUUAUUAGACACCUGCUGUCUUCAGAGAUUAAAAAAUAAGCAAAUGCAACCAGU
Neofelis nebulosa (Clouded leopard) is the source of this 536-nucleotide long non-coding RNA. RefSeq lists it as uncharacterized. The record is from RefSeq and is a predicted model, not a curated record. Lineage: Eukaryota; Metazoa; Chordata; Mammalia; Carnivora; Felidae. The transcript has 3 exons.